AUGGUUCUAUAUUGUUUUGGAGAGCCAAACACGACCUGAAGAAGGUAGUGGGGGAGAGGGAGGAGUCUGAGAGGUAUUAAAUGAGCAGGCUGCUUUCCCAGAAGCCUCUCACUUACAGGAUCUGAAAUGACUGCUUUUGGGGAGAAGUGAUAUUCAUACUGAUGGGAAGAGGGCCGUGUAG
Non-coding RNA from Vicugna pacos (alpaca), 181 nucleotides. The record is from RefSeq and is a predicted model, not a curated record. NCBI's taxonomy places the organism in Eukaryota, Metazoa, Chordata, Mammalia, Artiodactyla, Camelidae.